UCUGCUCUACUGACCGAGCCAACCAUGUACCCCGAGAAUUUUUUUCUCAUUUAUUAUUUUAAAAUAAUUAUACAUCCACGGAAAUUUGCAGAAUUAGUCCAGAGAGGUCCCUGGCACCUUUCCCUCUGCUUCCCCCAACGGUUAUAUCUCGUGUAUCUAUAACGAAACGUCAGAGCCGGGACACUGAUGCAACGUCCUGGCGUGUAGCGCUCUGGGCCCUCACGUGACCGCAGCCGUAUGUACCCGCCACCCCAGCCAACGUCCAGGGCGUUCCAGUCACCACAGGGAGCCCCCUCCAGCGACCCCCGAAGGCCCCCCGCCACGCCCCCACAGCCACCGCUAGCCCCGGGACAGCACCCAUCUGCUGCGCGCCUCUAGAACUCCCUCAGGAUGCUCUAGAUGCAAGCCUACGGCACAGAGCUUCUGGAGAGCCGGCGUUCCCACUCAGCACGAUGCCCCGGGCAGGAUUCCAAGUCUCACGUGUAUCAGGAGCUCCUUCCUUUUCGUUUGCGCUGUGUCCCGCUUGUGCGUGUACUGGAUAAUCUAUUUUUAAGUCCCUAUUCUAAUCCCACAUAUGCAUGGUUUCCAGGGAUGGGAGUGUGCACAUCUUUGGGGCCUAUCUGUCCUGUGCAAGGUGCCAAGGAGGAGUGGAGGGCAUGAUCUAAACGCUGGGCAUGCCAUGUCCGCCCGGUGGUCCGCAGGUCCAGCGUGGGGCAGACGGGCUGGGAGAGUCGUCUUCCCUCCAGGAGUCACCCGCCCAAUCAUACACGAAGCUCCGCCACUUGGAGGAGAAGGGACGUCGAGGACAAGCCUUCCCAGCAGAACCUGUGCGCACACACCCCCCACGGGGGUUGAGAGGAGACGGUGGGCCCUUGCCUGUGAGUGCCAUGCGUGGUGUUGGCACCCCACAGCUGGGGUCCUGGUGAGCACAGAAGGGGUAGUUUCCGGGAGGCAGGUGCCGAGGGGCAGACGGAAGACCUAGGUAUUUGCGUUGGCUCUGCUCCUGGGGCACAUCGUCUGUGUCUCAGUUUACCCACUGUGAGUAGGGGAGACCGCAUUGAGUAUCUCCCCUGUGGUCCGUGGCCCUUCCCUGGAGUCACAGUGGUAGGCAAGGGUGGCGCGUCUGUCCCCCCCCCCCCCAGCCUGGGGGAGAAGCAGGGACCUUCCCUCCUUCCCUCCAGCAUCGUGCUGCAUGGAGCGUCAGGGCGGGAUCCAGAAGAGAGGAUGAUGGAGUGACAGUACCACCGGCCGCAUCUCCGGCUCUCAUCCCACCUGCCUCCCGUGGGCCGUUCCUGGCCCCAUCUCUCACCUGCUCUGUGUUUGAUGGUGUGGCAGGCAGAAGGCUAAGAUGGUCCCCAGUGGCUCAGGACCUUGUGGACACCUGUCCUUGAGUGUGAGCAGAACUUGCGAUGUGACAGGUUUCGUGUCUCUGACAGUGUGAUGUAUGGUGAAGGUGAAAGGGUUUUCCAGAUGGAAUGAAGAUUCCUGCUCAGUUGACCUUUUGUUCAUCCAAAAGGAAAUGAUUCUGGGUGAGCCUGAGCUAAUCAGGGGGACGCAGGUCCCCUUGAGGUCACAGAAUCACCGCUGGCCCUGGGGAAGCAGGACCCCACAGGUAUGCAGCUGCCAGCACGGGAGUUCUGUCAACAGCCUGGUGAGCCUGGAAGAGGCAGGCCCCUGCCCGGAGGCCACACAGGCACGGCGCCAGGCUGGCCGCGGGGACAUCUCGGCAGGACUCCGGGCCACGUGUGCCCUGCACUCCGAUCCCACAGAGACGGUCUGCCGCGUGGUGUUUGAAGCCUCUAAGUUGGCACUAACUUGCUCCAUCGCAGUAGAAAACGACCCUCCGCUGUGGUGAGGGUCCCAUGCUCCCUGUCCCCGCUUCCUCGGGGCCUCCCGGGCCACCUUGCCCUCCAGAGGCCCAGCUCAAGUGUCAGCUCCUUGGAGAAACCCUCCCUGGGGGCCCACCGGCGGUCUGCACCUAAAGCGAGGCGGCCUUGCUGCAGUCUCCGUGGGUCCUGUGCCCAGGGCAUGGGUGAUGGCGCCUCCUGCCCCACCCAGUGCGGGGACGGCUGCGGCCAGGUGCCGGCCGAUCAAAGUAGAGCUGACACUCGACGUGGCAUCAGUCUCCGGUGCGCAGCGCAGUGAUGCGGCCCUCGCCCCAAGUGUGGCUGCCGCCCGUCACCACACAGCAGACCUGCGGGGCUGUGCCCUUCAUCCCGUGAGGGGCCGCUGCCUUCCCGAGUCCCCAGGAACCUUGGCGCCCACUCACGGCCGGCAGGUCGGCUGAAGGGACUCCGAAAGCCCUGACCGCGCACACAGAAGCCGGCCGGGCCCGGCCGCUCCCCAGGCCGGGGCGCCUUCCGAGGGGGGCUGUGCGUGUUUCUACCUUGAUCCUCACCCAGGCGCAGGCUUUUACGGUUGUGGUCAAAUACGUUUAACAUAAGACGUACCAUUUUAACCAUUUUCAGUGCACAGCUCAGUGGUAUUGAGCAUAGUCACCAUCAUGCAGCCACACCCACCAUCCGUUUCCUGCACUUUCCAUCUCCCCACACGGAGCCUCUGGGCCCGUGCAGCACUGGAGCACGCCACCCUCCACGUGGGCCCUACCUCCGUGUCCUUCCGUCUGUCCUCUGCACGGGGCAGUUCCACCGUGGAUCUGGGCAGGAAAUUAACACCGCAAGCGUCCGUUUCAGCUGACUUGUAUUUCAUGUUUGCCACAGCCUGCGAUCCGCUUAUGACGCGAACUGUGGUGUAUUUAGGCUUUUUAAUUCUUUCAAUAAAGACCAGAUGAACUCACUUUACAGUCUUACAAAAAUGGAGUGAAACACAUGGUCAGGAAGCGUUGGUCUCCUUAUCAUCCAAAAUUUCAUUCUCUGAAUGUAAAACUGAUCAAUAAAAUGUUUUUUAAUGAUA
Suricata suricatta (meerkat) is the source of this 2913-nucleotide long non-coding RNA. RefSeq lists it as uncharacterized. NCBI's taxonomy places the organism in Eukaryota, Metazoa, Chordata, Mammalia, Carnivora, Herpestidae. The record is from RefSeq and is a predicted model, not a curated record. The transcript has 3 exons.